Molecule: non-coding RNA, 77 nt
Organism: Lentisphaera araneosa HTCC2155
Lineage: Bacteria; Pseudomonadati; Lentisphaerota; Lentisphaeria; Lentisphaerales; Lentisphaeraceae
Source: Rfam
AGGAGCCGUAUACGUGAACCGUACGUACGGUUCUGUGAGAGGGAUAAGUCAGAGCCUAGUGCUCUGACUUACUCUAC